Molecule: transfer RNA, 89 nt
Filed under: Actinomycetota bacterium
Lineage: Bacteria; Bacillati; Actinomycetota
Description: tRNA-Ser
Rfam family: tRNA
About the family: Transfer RNA (tRNA) molecules are approximately 80 nucleotides in length. Their secondary structure includes four short double-helical elements and three loops (D, anti-codon, and T loops). Further hydrogen bonds mediate the characteristic L-shaped molecular structure. tRNAs have two regions of fundamental functional importance: the anti-codon, which is responsible for specific mRNA codon recognition, and the 3' end, to which the tRNAs corresponding amino acid is attached (by aminoacyl-tRNA synthetases). tRNAs cope with the degeneracy of the genetic code in two manners: having more than one tRNA (with a specific anti-codon) for a particular amino acid; and 'wobble' base-pairing, i.e. permitting non-standard base-pairing at the 3rd anti-codon position.
Source: RNAcentral
GGAGAGGUGGCAGAGCGGUUGAAUGCGCCGGUCUCGAAAACCGGUUAGGGCCUUUCGGUCCUACGGGGGUUCGAAUCCCCCCCUCUCCG